Caerostris darwini is the source of this 110-nucleotide non-coding RNA. Lineage: Eukaryota; Metazoa; Arthropoda; Arachnida; Araneae; Araneidae. The record is from the annotation of a GenBank genome assembly.
ACGGCCAUAACAUGCUUAAUAUACCGGUUCCCGUUAGAUCACCGACGUCAAGCAUAUGGGACGUGGUCAGUACUUGAGAGGGUGACCCCCUGGGAACCCCGCGUGCCGUU